This 504-nucleotide long non-coding RNA is filed under the name Homo sapiens (human). RNAcentral's name for it is "HSALNT0260343". The record is from RNAcentral. Lineage: Eukaryota; Metazoa; Chordata; Mammalia; Primates; Hominidae.
UUAAGUUGUUUAACCAGCUAGUAUGUGGCAGAGCUGGGAUUUGAACCCAGGUACUCUGUUUUCAGAACUUAGGUUCUUUUUUCCUUUUUUUUUUUUUUUUUUUGAGAUAGGGUCUGGCUCUGUCACCCAGGCCAGAGUGCAGUGACACGAUCUGCCUCCCAGGCUCAAGCCAUCCUGCAGUUUAAGCAAUACUGUUAAGAAUACCAGUGUGUGGGCUGGGCUUGGUGGCUCAUGCCUGUAACCCCAGCAUUUUGGGAGGCUGAGGCAGAUGGAUCACCUGAGGUCAGGAGUUCCAGACCUGGGCGACAGAGUGAGACUUUGUCUUAAAAAUAAAUAAAUAAUAACAGUGUGCGUCAGCUCAUGCCUGUAAUCCAGCACUUUGAGAGGCUGGUCUCGAACUCCUGACCUCAGGUGAUCUGCCUGCCUCGGCCUUCCAGAGUGCUGGGAUUACAGGCAUGAGCCACUGUUCCUGGCCCCACCAGUGUUUUUUCUAGCAAAAAAUUC